AGCCUCCUCUGCGACAGCAUGAUCCAGCAGAUGUCACUAUAGCCAAGGGAGAGGCACAGAGGCGUAAUUGACCCUUUGACCUUGUCUGUUUGGCGUUGCAAAGACCAAGUCAGAAGUCAGCUCGGGCCAAUAGGAGAAACAAGUACAGCACAAUGGAUUGUUGGUGUCACACAUCUGCAUCUGUGUAAAUCCGUUUUGUGUUUAAACCACCUAAGAUUAAGAAGGAUUGGAGGAUGUCCUUAUUGGUGGCACAUUCCUGUCACACUCUGCCCUUGAUCAACUGCACCAGCCAGACAAUAGCACUGAUCAUUUUCCCCCGGCAAGGAAACUCAGCAUGGAUCAGCUCAAUAACCUGAUAUUCUCAGUCUACUCAAUGUAGACAAUUUAGCACCAGGUCAGCACCUUUCUCUCUGCUUUUUAAAUCUCAGACAAUUUGGUGACCUCCCACCUGAGCACUGACAGGUCCAAAGGAGACAAAACACAAUUGUAGCUCAAGCAAGCAAGCUGCUUGUGACGUGACAGUGUGUUUAUGUCUAUAUCCCUCAAGGUGAUACCUGGUGUGGGACAAGGAGGGAUUGGGGGGUGCUAUUAUGCAAACUCGAUAUCCAGCGUGCUUUCAGAUUACAUUUUUCAUGUCUUUCCCGUCUUCGGUUACCGCCAUACAUGCAUGUCUGGAUGUGGAUGUUUAAAUUGCUGUGGUUACAAAUCAUUUUCCAUCAAUCAGUUACAUGGCCAGGUGCCUUUCAGCUUCAGAUUAAACACUCCUUGUAGCUGGGGGGAAUUAUGUCCAGGACUACCCUUUUUUUUUUCCAGGGAUGGGAUUUAAAUCAGAUCACUCUUUAUUGUGGAAUUUCUGCCCCGCUGUUUUGAAUUUACUGUUAUCUGCAUCCAGCUGUGAAAAUGGAAUCAACAACAAUGUGACCCCCUCCCUCACAUCGCCCACAUGAUGAUGUCCAUUCAGUCUAAUUUUACUGACCAGACAAUUGCAUAAGAUGAUAUAGAGAAGC
Long non-coding RNA from Syngnathoides biaculeatus (alligator pipefish), 1007 nucleotides. RefSeq lists it as uncharacterized. The record is from RefSeq and is a predicted model, not a curated record. Lineage: Eukaryota; Metazoa; Chordata; Actinopteri; Syngnathiformes; Syngnathidae. The transcript is spliced from 3 exons.